CAUGUGUAGCGGUGAAAUGCGUAGAUAUAUGGAGGAACACCAGUGGCGAAAGCGGCUCUCUGGUCUGUCACUGACGCUGAGGCUCGAAAGCGUGGGUAGCGAACAGGAUUAGAUACCCUGGUAGUCCACGCCGUAAACGAUGAGUGCUAGGUGUUAGGCCCUUUCCGGGGCUUAGUGCCGGAGCUAACGCAAUAAGCACUCCGCCUGGGGAGUACGACCGCAAGGUUGAAACUCAAAGGAAUUGACGGGGGCCCGCACAAGCGGUGGAGCAUGUGGUUUAAUUCGAAGCAACGCGAAGAACCUUACCAGGUCUUGACAUCCCGAUGCUAUUCUUAGAGAUAGGAAGUUACUUCGGUACAUCGGAGACAGGUGGUGCAUGGUUGUCGUCAGCUCGUGUCGUGAGAUGUUGGGUUAAGUCCCGCAACGAGCGCAACCCUUAUUGUUAGUUGCCAUCAUUAAGUUGGGCACUCUAGCGAGACUGCCGGUAAUAAACCGGGGGAAGGUGGGGAUGACGUCAAAUCAUCAUGCCCCUUAUGACCUGGGCUACACACGUGCUACAAUGGUCGGUACAACGAGUUGCGAGCCGGUGACGGCAAGCUAAUCUCUGAAAGCCGAUCUCAGUUCGGAUUGGAGGCUGCAACUCGCCUCCAUGAAGUCGGGAUCGCUAGUAAUCGCGGAUCAGCACGCCGCGGUGAAUACGUUCCCGGGCCUUGUACACACCGCCCGUCACACCACGAGAGUUUGUAACACCCGAAGUCG
RNAcentral lists this ribosomal RNA (759 nucleotides) under uncultured bacterium. RNAcentral's name for it is "bacterial SSU rRNA". It matches the Rfam family "Bacterial small subunit ribosomal RNA", at positions 670 to 1429 of the family's 1533-position model. The record is from RNAcentral.